This 492-nucleotide ribosomal RNA is filed under the name uncultured bacterium. Its description in RNAcentral is "partial 16S ribosomal RNA". It matches the Rfam family "Bacterial small subunit ribosomal RNA", at positions 29 to 507 of the family's 1533-position model. The record is from RNAcentral.
AGUGAACGCUGGCGGUAGGCCUAACACAUGCAAGUCGAACGGCAGCACAGUAAGAGCUUGCUCUUACGGGUGGCGAGUGGCGGACGGGUGAGGAAUACAUCGGAAUCUACUUUUUCGUGGGGGAUAACGUAGGGAAACUUACGCUAAUACCGCAUACGACCUACGGGUGAAAGCAGGGGAUCUUCGGACCUUGCGCGAUUGAAUGAGCCGAUGUCGGAUUAGCUAGUUGGCGGGGUAAAGGCCCACCAAGGCGCCGAUCCGUAGCUGGUCUGAGAGGAUGAUCAGCCACACUGGAACUGGAACAGGGUCCAGACUCCUAAGGGAGGCAGCAGAGGGGAAUAUUGGACAAUGGGCGCAAGCCUGAUCCAGCCAUACCGCGUGGGUGAAGAAGGCCUUCGGGUUGUAAAGCCCUUUUGUUGGGAAAGAAAAGCAGCAGGUUAAUACCCCGCUGUUCUGACGGUAACCAAAGAAUAAGCACCGGCUAACUUCGUG